CCGGCUUGCAGGGGAGGAAGAAGCCCGCCGCCCGCAUGAAGCCUGAGGGCAGGACGAAUGGGGUGGGGGAGUAGGGGAAGCAGAAGGUAGCCCCAGACCAGCAGGUAACCACGUGUCCCAAUGCUGCUUUUCUUUAAUAUCCAUUCGUGUCUUGAAACAUGUAGUACUUUCUCGUGCAGGGCUUUAACUUUCUUCCAGGAGCCUGACUUGGCUCUCACAAAUCGAGCCCACAUUUUCUAGGUGCUGAUCUUUUUAUCCUUGAAUGCUAAACGGCCAGUUACAGACACCUUGAUCCUGGUUUCCAGUUGCACAGGACACUCCUGCUCCUGUGACAGAGGUGAAGUUCAUGAACACGGGGCCCAGGAAAUCUGCCUAGAUGGAAAGUGACUCACUUUUGGCAGUCUUGUCUUGCAUUUCUUCACUUCCCCUUGCUCCUUGCCAGUUUUGCAUCUUUUUAUGGUCAUACAGUCCCCGCUCUUCCUGCUGAACCAAGCUCCUUCCUCAGGCAGCUCAGUGCCGGCCUCUAGUCCGGCGUAGAAGGAAGGUUUCUCAGGGCCUUAUACGAUGCCAUGAAUGCAGAUCUCUGAAGUGGCCUCACAUUCACCUUUUGGGCUGUGAUUCUGCUUUUGAAGAUGCUAUCCCAUUACAGGACUCAACUGGAUUCUCAUCAAGCUGUGGAAGUGCGGCAGGAGGAGUGCAAAGUUUGGGGAUGGCUACGACUAGUAAUCUGGAAGAGCCUGCAAAGCAUGUUAUGUACGGCAGCUGAGAAGGUCGCAAAGCUCUGCUGGAGCAGGUGUUUGAUCUUGGAUAAGCGACAUGAAAAUGAUAGAGAUGCCCUGCCUGCAUUUUAGAAGGACUAAUGAAUUCACAAGAUCUUCUGAAUUCCCAAACUCAUGAUGCUCUAAAUGAUGUUGAGAGUUGCCGCUGCACAGUUGAAACCCCUGGAAGGGAAUCCUUAAACCUCCACUUUCCCAUCAUCUGGCAGGGGGAUGUGUUAUAGUGUUAAGCAUUAAAUUGUUUGGAGACUUUUUCUCUCUAGCUGAUGAUAAAUUUACAGGCACAACUUCACUUCUAAGAAAGAAUAAUGUUCUGUUUCUUCAGAGAUGUGUGUAAAUGAG
Molecule: long non-coding RNA, 1118 nt
Filed under: Crocodylus porosus (Australian saltwater crocodile)
Lineage: Eukaryota; Metazoa; Chordata; Crocodylia; Crocodylidae
Description: lncRNA (ENSCPRG00005005498.1)
Source: RNAcentral